AGCAGCCGCGGUAAUACGGAGGAUGCAAGUGUUAUCCGGAAUCACUGGGCGUAAAGCGUCUGUAGGUGGUUUAAUAAGUCAACUGUUAAAUCUUGAGGCUCAACUUCAAAAUCGCAGUCGAAACUAUUAGACUAGAGUAUAGUAGAGGUAAAGGGAAUUUCCAGUGGAGCGGUGAAAUGCGUAGAUAUUGGAAAGAACACCGAUGGCGAAAGCACUUUACUGGGCUAUUACUAACACUCAGAGACGAAAGCUAGGGUAGCAAAUGGGAUUAGAUACCCCAGUAGUCCUAGCCGUAAACAAUGGAUACUAGAUGUUGAACAGAUCGACCUGUGCAGUAUCAAAGCUAACGCGUUAAGUAUCCCGCCUGGGAAGUAUGCUCGCAAGAGUGAAACUCAAAGGAUUGACGGA
This 408-nucleotide ribosomal RNA is filed under the name uncultured eukaryote. Its description in RNAcentral is "bacterial SSU rRNA". It matches the Rfam family "Bacterial small subunit ribosomal RNA", at positions 510 to 917 of the family's 1533-position model. The record is from RNAcentral.